GCCUGGAAACGCCAUGGGAUUCCCCCAGACGAGCUGGCUCAAGUGGCUGGGGAGAGGGAAGUCUGGGUCUCUCUGCUUAGACUGCUGCCCCCGCGACCCUACCCCGGAUAAGCGGAAGACAAUGGAUGGAUGGAUGGAUGCUUUAGAUUUCAAAAUAUUCACUUUUGUUGUAUUAGCCGUUCUUUAAAUACCACUGUUAAGAGAAAAGCAAAACUAGUCUUACGCCAUUUAAAAGUCUUGCUGAUGUGAUUUUUGUUUUUAAGACUUCUCCAUGAUCUUUUACAUCCACCUUUCAAGUUACUUGUUUUCUUUGGGACAGCUAAAGAGAUGAACAGAGUAACAAGGUCAACCACUUGAUGGGAAUGUAGCAACCUUAAAUUUAUUCCUGCCUUUUAGUCAAACUGCUUUUCUUACAAGCCCAAAAUGUCAUAGUCUGUGUGUGUGUGUGUGCGUGUGUUAGUGUGUGUGUGCGCGUGUGUUUGAUGUACUUGUCUACAUAACCAUUCAGUGUUUCACAGUUGGUGCUGCAGUUCUCAGGUGCGCUGGAUGACAGGUGUCUUCUAUCUGUUGAUUGCUUGGAGGAGUACUUAAGCGGGAGGCUGCCAGCACUUCGAUGCCAGAGUGUUUGCCUUAGUGGUAACAAACUCAGCCACUACAGAUUUUUUGCUUCGUUCUUGAACUAAAGUAACUUUGUAUUUUGCUCCCAUGCAGGUUUUUACCUGAGGCUUUGUUUACCUUGCUGAGUUACGACUUCGUUCCAGAGUAUCUCUGAGCAUCUGGAUUUUCAACUACUAAGUUAAGGAUCUACCUUCUUGUGCAUUUCUCUCACUACCAUCUGUACCUUUCGGACACGAACCAAGCUGGCGGCUUCUCGUUUCCUCUCACUCCAGGACCCAGGCAUCAGCAUACCCUGUUCCAUCCUCCAUCUUAAACAUCGGCACCUAAGCUCCAUUUGGCUGGCACCAAGAUCUCAACUAAGAGGACAACUGAACAAUCUUCCUUCGCAAGUUAAGACUCUGAAUCUCUCUAUCCCUGGUGGUUCAAGCCACAACAAUUUAUUGGUGUUUCCAGCCCACAUCCCAGAUUACUUUGCUGACAAUAAAAUCCGUAAAGCUUU
Molecule: long non-coding RNA, 1117 nt
Organism: Girardinichthys multiradiatus
Lineage: Eukaryota; Metazoa; Chordata; Actinopteri; Cyprinodontiformes; Goodeidae
Exons: 2
Source: RefSeq, a predicted model, not a curated record